Molecule: ribosomal RNA, 253 nt
Filed under: uncultured bacterium
Lineage: Bacteria
Description: partial 16S ribosomal RNA
Rfam family: Bacterial small subunit ribosomal RNA
Source: RNAcentral
GACAGAGGGUGCAAACGUUGCUCGGAAUCACUGGGCGUAAAGGGCGUGUAGGCGGGAAGGAAAGUCAGAUGUGAAAUCCCUGGGCUCAACCCAGGAACUGCAUUUGAAACUCCCUUUCUUGAGUACCGGAGAGGAAGGUGGAAUACCUGGUGUAGAGGUGAAAUUCGUAGAUAUCAGGUGGAACACCAGUGGCGAAGGCGGCCUUCUGGACGGUAACUGACGCUGAGGUGCGAAAGCGUGGGGAGCAAACAGG